GACGAACGCUGGCGGCGUGCUUAACACAUGCAAGUCGAACGGUGAAGCGCCUUCCUUUUUGGUGGGUGUGGAUGAGUGGCGAACGGGUGAGUAACACGUGAGUAACCUGCCCCCUUCUUCUGGAUAACCGCAUGAAAGUGUGGCUAAUACGGGAUAUUCUGGGUCUGUCGCAUGAUGGGUCUGGGAAAGAUAUUGUUUCGGUGGGGGAUGGGCUCGCGGCCUAUCAGCUUGUUGGUGGGGUGAUGGCCUACCAAGGCGGUGACGGGUAGCCGGCCUGAGAGGGUGGACGGUCACACUGGGACUGAGACACGGCCCAGACUACUACGGGAGGCAGCAGUGGGGAAUAUUGCACAAUGGGCGCAAGCCUGAUGCAGCGACGCCGCGUGAGGGAUGGAGGCCUUCGGGUUGUGAACCUCUUUCGCCAGUGAAGCAGGCCUGCCUCGUUUGUGGGUGGGUUGACGGUAGCUGGACAAGAAGCGCCGGCUAACUACGUG
Molecule: ribosomal RNA, 494 nt
Filed under: uncultured bacterium
Lineage: Bacteria
Description: partial 16S ribosomal RNA
Rfam family: Bacterial small subunit ribosomal RNA
Source: RNAcentral